RNAcentral lists this ribosomal RNA (485 nucleotides) under Sphingomonas sp. RNAcentral's name for it is "bacterial SSU rRNA". It matches the Rfam family "Bacterial small subunit ribosomal RNA", at positions 843 to 1341 of the family's 1533-position model. The record is from RNAcentral. Lineage: Bacteria; Pseudomonadati; Pseudomonadota; Alphaproteobacteria; Sphingomonadales; Sphingomonadaceae.
GUGGCGCAGCUAACGCAUUAAGUUAUCCGCCUGGGGAGUACGGCCGCAAGGUUAAAACUCAAAGGAAUUGACGGGGGCCUGCACAAAGCAUGUGGUUUAAUUCGAAGCAACGCGCAGAACCUUACCAGCGUUUGACAUGGUAGGACGACUUCCAGAGAUGGAUUUCUUCCCUUCGGGGACCUACACACAGGUGCUGCAUGGCUGUCGUCAGCUCGUGUCGUGAGAUGUUGGGUUAAGUCCCGCAACGAGCGCAACCCUCGACUUUAGUUACCAUCAUUAAGUUGGGUACUUUAAAGUAACCGCCGGUGAUAAGCCGGAGGAAGGUGGGGAUGACGUCAAGUCCUCAUGGCCCUUACGCGCUGGGCUACACACGUGCUACAAUGGCAAGUACAGUGGGCAGCAAUCCCGCGAGGGUGAGCUAAUCUCCAAAACUUGUCUCAGUUCGGAUUGUUGUUGCACUCGAACGAGUUGACCUGACCCAAUGA